AGGGUGUAAAACGCUGCAGACUUGGUGUUGGAAGCCCUUUGGGGGCAUACAGUGCCGGAGAGAAGUUGUUAAGUCUGCUACUUGGGGAGUACGUCCGCAAGGAUGAAACUUAAAGGAAUUGGCGGGGGAGCACCGCAACGGGAGGAGCGUGCGGUUUAAUUGGAUUCAACACCGUAAAACUCACCAGGGAAGACUGUUACAUGAAAGCCGAGAUGAAGACUCUGCUAGAUUUUCAGAGAGGUGGUGCAUGGCGUCAGUGAC
Molecule: ribosomal RNA, 261 nt
Filed under: uncultured archaeon
Lineage: Archaea
Description: partial 16S ribosomal RNA
Rfam family: Archaeal small subunit ribosomal RNA
Source: RNAcentral